RNAcentral lists this ribosomal RNA (808 nucleotides) under Escherichia coli. Its description in RNAcentral is "partial 23S ribosomal RNA". It matches the Rfam family "Bacterial large subunit ribosomal RNA", at positions 1027 to 1820 of the family's 2925-position model. The record is from RNAcentral. Lineage: Bacteria; Pseudomonadati; Pseudomonadota; Gammaproteobacteria; Enterobacterales; Enterobacteriaceae.
CCAGACCGCCAGCUAAGGUCCCAAAGUCAUGGUUAAGUGGGAAACGAUGUGGGAAGGCCCAGACAGCCAGGAUGUUGGCUUAGAAGCAGCCAUCAUUUAAAGAAAGCGUAAUAGCUCACUGGUCGAGUCGGCCUGCGCGGAAGAUGUAACGGGGCUAAACCAUGCACCGAAGCUGCGGCAGCGACACUAAGUGUUGUUGGGUAGGGGAGCGUUCUGUAAGCCUGUGAAGGUGUACUGUGAGGUAUGCUGGAGGUAUCAGAAGUGCGAAUGCUGACAUAAGUAACGAUAAAGCGGGUGAAAAGCCCGCUCGCCGGAAGACCAAGGGUUCCUGUCCAACGUUAAUCGGGGCAGGGUGAGUCGACCCCUAAGGCGAGGCCGAAAGGCGUAGUCGAUGGGAAACAGGUUAAUAUUCCUGUACUUGGUGUUACUGCGAAGGGGGGACGGAGAAGGCUAUGUUGGCCGGGCGACGGUUGUCCCGGUUUAAGCGUGUAGGCUGGUUUUCCAGGCAAAUCCGGAAAAUCAAGGCUGAGGCGUGAUGACGAGGCACUACGGUGCUGAAGCAACAAAUGCCCUGCUUCCAGGAAAAGCCUCUAAGCAUCAGGUAACAUCAAAUCGUACCCCAAACCGACACAGGUGGUCAGGUAGAGAAUACCAAGGCGCUUGAGAGAACUCGGGUGAAGGAACUAGGCAAAAUGGUGCCGUAACUUCGGGAGAAGGCACGCUGAUAUGUAGGUGAAGCGACUUGCUCGUGGAGCUGAAAUCAGUCGAAGAUACCAGCUGGCUGCAACUGUUUAUUAAAAACACAGCA